UUCGGUUUAAUGAAAAAGUACAGUACCAUGGCUAUUGUCCUGACUGUGAUACCCGGUAUAACAUAAAAAACAGGGAGGUCCACUUACACAGUGAACCUGUCCACCCACCGGGAAAGAUUCCUCACCAAGGCCCUCCCCUCCCUCCUACACCCCAUCUCCCUCCUUUCCCACUAGAAAAUGGGGGAAUGGGAAUAAGCCACAGUAACAGCUUCCCCCCUAUCAGACCUGCAACUGUGCCUCCUCCCACUGCACCAAAACCACAGAAGACGAUCUUGAGGAAGUCAACCACUACAACCGUGUGAUGUAUGCCAUUAAAAAAAUUGUUUUUUUAAUUUUCUAUAUUAUAAACAUAAAAUAAGUAAUGAGCACUUUCUACUCAAGCAAUAAAAAGCCCAAAUAUAUUAAUCCUGCAUUCAGCAAAGUGGCAUAAAAAUCACCUGCUCCUUCAGGUUGGAAGGAAUACCUUUACUUGGGGGCAUGUCAAUUCGUUUUUCUCACUUGAUUCAUCUUUAUGACUUCCUGAGGACAGAUCUAAUUCUAAAGUAACCAGAAGCCUGGCCAUCUCAGAGCAGCAAAUCCCUCAACCUUGGAGCACAAAUGAUCGCUGAUAGAGUCUGCAUAAAAUCAUCUUCCUCUAUCUGACAGCCAUGAGCAGAGCCUUGGGGGUAAAAAAAGCCACAGCCUUAAAUCUCUUCACUCAGAAAUUACCAUGAAGAUAAAAUAAAUAAAUGGAAAGGACUAUCAAGAAGCCAACAAAACAUAAACACCAAACCAACUCAUCUUGUUUCACUUUGGAAAUAAACUGUUCCCAGAUGUGAGACCAACAAAAUUAAUAUUAAGCAAUUAAACCAGUAAAUUAUAAACUGAUUUAUCAUUUGGGAAGUUUAAAGUACAGAGAGAUGAGGUACCUGUAGCCAGAAUUACACAUCAUUUCAAAAUAUGUAGAC
RNAcentral lists this long non-coding RNA (947 nucleotides) under Homo sapiens (human). RNAcentral describes it as "HSALNT0093477". Lineage: Eukaryota; Metazoa; Chordata; Mammalia; Primates; Hominidae. The record is from RNAcentral.